This 870-nucleotide long non-coding RNA is filed under the name Setaria italica (foxtail millet). RNAcentral's name for it is "long non-coding RNA (SITA_LNC006973)". Lineage: Eukaryota; Viridiplantae; Streptophyta; Magnoliopsida; Poales; Poaceae. The record is from RNAcentral.
GUUUUGAGAUCAUCUCACUAUCUGGUUCUUUCCUGCUUGCGGAGGAUGGUGACACUCGCAGCAGGACUGGUGGUUUAAGUGUUGCACUUGCAGGAUCUGAUGGACGAGUUCUUGGAGGAUGUGUUGCUGGAAUGCUCAUGGCAGCAACUCCUGUUCAGGUUUGAUCAACCUGUAAAUUUUCUUCCUCCUAGUUGAGAUUUGUUCAAUUGCUUUAUUUCACUGACCACUUUAUACUUCUACCUGUGUUUGACUGGUCAUCAGGUUGUGGUGGCCAGUUUCAUCGCAGAGGGCAAGAAAUCAAAGCCAGCUGAGGCACGGAAGGUCGAACCGAUGUCUGCUCCUCCACCACAGAUGCCUACCUUCGUGCCACCUCCUGUGGCCACCAGCCCUCCAUCGGAGGGCACAUCCAGCGCAUCAUCCGAUGACUCUGGCAGCCCGAUCAACCACAGCGCCAUGCCCUUCAACCACUCCGGCCAGCACCAGCACCCUCACCAGCACCAGCACCAGCACCAGCACAUGCCGCCUGCCUACGCAUCCGGUGGGUGGUCCCUCUCUGCGCACCAGCAGAACAGGCAUGACUCUGACAUGAAGAUGAUGUCGAACUAACACUGCUCAACCUUAAGUGCCCCAUUUCCUGGUUGGGCUGGAGAGGAAGCUGCUGAUGGUUGGUUGGUACUUCUGCCAUGGAUGAUCCUUUUGCGUCGUCUGCUCUGAUCAGUGACGGUGUAUCUGCUAUAGCUAAGCUAGCUAGGAGAGUUAGGGUUCAUGGUCUCACCUGCUGUUGUUUCCCCCCCAAGUAAGAUUAAUUUAAUUCGAAUUAGCCGCCGUUGUAAUGCUGUAGCGUUGUCCUAAAGUCUGUCAGCCCCUAAC